RNAcentral lists this ribosomal RNA (438 nucleotides) under uncultured Tomentella. RNAcentral's name for it is "eukaryotic LSU rRNA". The stretch from base 16 to 170 matches the Rfam family "5.8S ribosomal RNA". Lineage: Eukaryota; Fungi; Basidiomycota; Agaricomycetes; Thelephorales; Thelephoraceae. The record is from RNAcentral.
AAAAGAAAUAUAUACAACUUUCAGCAACGGAUCUCUUGGCUCUCGCAUCGAUGAAGAACGCAGCGAAAUGCGAUAAGUAAUGUGAAUUGCAGAAUUCAGUGAAUCAUCGAAUCUUUGAACGCACCUUGCGCCCUUUGGACAUUCCGAAGGGCAUGCCUGUUUGAGUAUCAUGAACACCUCAACUCUUCAUGGUUUUCCAUGAUGAGCUUGGACUUUGGGGGGUUUUGCUGGCUUACAGUCAGCUCCUCUAAAAUAAAUCAGCUUGCCAGUGUUUGGUGGGUAUCGCAGGUGUGAUAACUAUCUACGCUUGUGGUUUUCCACCAGUACCUCAGCAGUGGAGGUUCACUGGAGCUCACAGACUGUCUCUCUCAGUGAGGACAGCCUUUGAUGUUGUCUCAAACAGGAGACUACCGCUGACUUAGCUAUAUAAGCGAGGAU